UGGGGAAUAUUGGACAAUGGGCGAAAGCCUGAUCCAGCCAUGCCGCGUGGGUGAAGAAGGCCUUCGGGUUGUAAAGCCCUUUUGUUGGGGAAGAAAUCCUGCUGGCUAAUACCUGGCGGGGAUGACGGUACCCAAAGAAUAAGCACCGGCUAACUUCGUGCCAGCAGCCGCGGUAAUACGUAGGGUGCAAGCGUUAAUCGGAAUUACUGGGCGUAAAGCGUGCGCAGGCGGUUCGGAAAGAAAGGUGUGAAAUCCCAGGGCUUAACCUUGGAACUGCACUUUUAACUACCGGGCUAGAGUGUGUCAGAGGGAGGUGGAAUUCCACGUGUAGCAGUGAAAUGCGUAGAGAUGCGGAGGAACACCGAUGGCGAAGGCAGCCUCCUGGGAUAACACUGACGCUCAUGCACGAAAGCGUGGGGAGCAAACAGGAUUAGAUACCC
This 440-nucleotide ribosomal RNA is filed under the name uncultured bacterium. RNAcentral describes it as "bacterial SSU rRNA". It matches the Rfam family "Bacterial small subunit ribosomal RNA", at positions 355 to 787 of the family's 1533-position model. The record is from RNAcentral.